UUAAGCCCUUAUUUAAAAGUAUGAUUCUAUUUCUUUUUCUUUAAAUAAUCAAAUAUCAUAUUGUAUACACUCUUUUUCUAAAAAGACAUGUAUAUAAAAUACCACGUAUACUAGUUAUCUAUAUUAGUAGUUGUUGUGUUACCCUAUGAUGAUGCUUCUAUCUUUACAAGAAUGUGAUCAAGUAUGACUUAGCAUAUCUAGCUUUAUUGGAGCCUCAA
RNAcentral lists this long non-coding RNA (218 nucleotides) under Elaeis guineensis (African oil palm). RNAcentral describes it as "long non-coding RNA (EGUI_LNC061125)". Lineage: Eukaryota; Viridiplantae; Streptophyta; Magnoliopsida; Arecales; Arecaceae. The record is from RNAcentral.